GCUGGGCAUGGUGGCACAUGCCUGUGGUCCCAGCUACUCAGGAAGCUGAGGUGGGAGGAUCGCUUGAGCCCAGGAGUUUGAGGGUGUAGUGAGCUAUGAUCAAACCACUACAUUCCAGCCUGGGCAACAGAGCAAGACCCUGUCUCAA
Molecule: signal recognition particle RNA, 148 nt
Filed under: Nomascus leucogenys (northern white-cheeked gibbon)
Lineage: Eukaryota; Metazoa; Chordata; Mammalia; Primates; Hylobatidae
Description: Metazoan signal recognition particle RNA
Rfam family: Metazoan signal recognition particle RNA
About the family: The signal recognition particle (SRP) is a universally conserved ribonucleoprotein.
Source: Rfam by way of RNAcentral